GACGCCAUGGCCCAAUGGAUAAGGCGCUGGCCUGCAGAACCAGAGGCUCUGGGUUCGACCCCUGGUGGAAUCG
Gossypium arboreum is the source of this 73-nucleotide transfer RNA. It matches the Rfam family "tRNA". From Rfam's summary of the family: Transfer RNA (tRNA) molecules are approximately 80 nucleotides in length. Their secondary structure includes four short double-helical elements and three loops (D, anti-codon, and T loops). The record is from Rfam. Lineage: Eukaryota; Viridiplantae; Streptophyta; Magnoliopsida; Malvales; Malvaceae.